UACGUAGGGUGCGAGCGUUAAUCGGAAUUACUGGGCGUAAAGCGUGCGCAGGCGGUUCGUUAAGUUCGUUGUGAAAGCCCCGGGCUCAACCUGGGAAUGGCAAUGGAAACUGGCGGGCUUGGAGUGCGGCAGAGGGGGGUGGAAUUCCCGGUGUAGCAGUGAAAUGCGUAGAGAUCGGGAGGAACAUCAGUUGCGAAGGCGGCUCUCUGGACCAGCACUGACACUGAGGCACGAAAGCGUGGGGAGCAAACAGG
Molecule: ribosomal RNA, 254 nt
Filed under: uncultured bacterium
Lineage: Bacteria
Description: partial 16S ribosomal RNA
Rfam family: Bacterial small subunit ribosomal RNA
Source: RNAcentral